Molecule: long non-coding RNA, 339 nt
Organism: Lontra canadensis (Northern American river otter)
Lineage: Eukaryota; Metazoa; Chordata; Mammalia; Carnivora; Mustelidae
Exons: 3
Source: RefSeq, a predicted model, not a curated record
GCAGCCUCCGGAGCCUCCCACCGACCCGGGAUUAAUACCCCGCGGCGCGGCUGCCGUAGCCGCUACCGCGUCGGGGCCUCGGGGGCUGCUCCGGGCUCCGCUCAUGUCACAGGCGUCUUCGCGUGCGGCCCGAAGGGCUGCGAGAGUGAGGGCGAGGCCGGGAGGGCUGGGACCAGGAAUCGCCUUCAACCCCAGUUGGUGCAUCUUUGGCAGAAAGUGAAGAAAACACCCCCAUUAUUACAUUUUUCCAUCCUAUGUCCUUGCUCAGCUGAUUUCAUCCUACCUUCCUCCUGGAGUUUAUUUUUCAUUUUUUUUCCCCAUUUCUAACUGCUUUUACAU